GAGAGCUUGCUCUCAUGAAGUUAGCGGCGGACGGGUGAGUAACACGUGGGUAACCUGCCCAUAAGACUGGGAUAACUCCGGGAAACCGGGGCUAAUACCGGAUAACAUUUUGAACUGCAUGGUUCGAAAUUGAAAGGCGGCUUCGGCUGUCACUUAUGGAUGGACCCGCGUCGCAUUAGCUAGUUGGUGAGGUAACGGCUCACCAAGGCAACGAUGCGUAGCCGACCUGAGAGGGUGAUCGGCCACACUGGGACUGAGACACGGCCCAGACUCCUACGGGAGGCAGCAGUAGGGAAUCUUCCGCAAUGGACGAAAGUCUGACGGAGCAACGCCGCGUGAGUGAUGAAGGCUUUCGGGUCGUAAAACUCUGUUGUUAGGGAAGAACAAGUGCUAGUUGAAUAAGCUGGCACCUUGACGGUACCUAACCAGAAAGCCACGGCUAACUACGUGCCAGCAGCCGCGGUAAUACGUAGGUGGCAAGCGUUAUCCGGAAUUAUUGGGCGUAAAGCGCGCGCAGGUGGUUUCUUAAGUCUGAUGUGAAAGCCCACGGCUCAACCGUGGAGGGUCAUUGGAAACUGGGAGACUUGAGUGCAGAAGAGGAAAGUGGAAUUCCAUGUGUAGCGGUGAAAUGCGUAGAGAUAUGGAGGAACACCAGUGGCGAAGGCGACUUUCUGGUCUGUAACUGACACUGAGGCGCGAAAGCGUGG
This 707-nucleotide ribosomal RNA is filed under the name Bacillus sp. (in: firmicutes). Its description in RNAcentral is "bacterial SSU rRNA". It matches the Rfam family "Bacterial small subunit ribosomal RNA", at positions 74 to 764 of the family's 1533-position model. Lineage: Bacteria; Bacillati; Bacillota; Bacilli; Caryophanales; Bacillaceae. The record is from RNAcentral.